CCUACGGGGGGCAGCAGUGGGGAAUAUUGCACAAUGGGCGCAAGCCUGAUGCAGCCAUGCCGCGUGUGUGAAGAAGGCCUUCGGGUUGUAAAGCACUUCCAGCGGGGAGGAAGGCGUUAAGGUUAAUAACCUUGGCGAUUGACGUUACCCGCAGAAGAAGCACCGGCUAACUCCGUGCCAGCAGCCGCGGUAAUACGGAGGGUGCAAGCGUUAAUCGGAAUUACUGGGCGUAAAGCGCACGCAGGCGGUCUGUCAAGUCGGAUGUGAAAUCCCCGGGCUCAACCUGGGAACUGCAUUCGAAACUGGCAGGCUAGAGUCUUGUAGAGGGGGGUAGAAUUCCAGGUGUAGCGGUGAAAUGCGUAGAGAUCUGGAGGAAUACCGGUGGCGAAGGCGGCCCCCUGGACAAAGACUGACGCUCAGGUGCGAAAGCGUGGGGAGCAAACAGGAUUAGAUACCCCAGUAGUC
Molecule: ribosomal RNA, 465 nt
Filed under: uncultured Klebsiella sp.
Lineage: Bacteria; Pseudomonadati; Pseudomonadota; Gammaproteobacteria; Enterobacterales; Enterobacteriaceae
Description: bacterial SSU rRNA
Rfam family: Bacterial small subunit ribosomal RNA
Source: RNAcentral